RNAcentral lists this ribosomal RNA (490 nucleotides) under uncultured bacterium. RNAcentral's name for it is "partial 16S ribosomal RNA". It matches the Rfam family "Bacterial small subunit ribosomal RNA", at positions 30 to 507 of the family's 1533-position model. The record is from RNAcentral.
AUUGAACGCUGGCGGCAGACCUAACACAUGCAAGUCGAACGGUAACAGGAAGCAGCUUGCUUCUUUGCUGACGAGUGGCGGACGGGUGAGUAAUGUCUGGGAAACUGCCUGAUGGAGGGGGAUAACUACUGGACACGGUAGCUACUACCGCAUAACGUCGCAAGACCAAAGAGGUGGACCUUCGGGGCUCUUGCCAUCGGAUGUGUCCAGAUGGGAUUAGCUAGUAGGUGGGGUAACGGCUCACCUAGGCGACGAUCCCUAGCUGGUCUGAGAGGAUGACCAGCCACACUGGAACUGAGACACGGUCCAGACUCCUACGGGAGGCAGCAGUGGGGAAUAUUGCACAAUGGGCGCAAGCCUGAUGCAGCCAUGCCGCGUGUAUGAAGAAGGCCUUCGGGUUGUAAAGUACUUUCAGCGGGGAGGAAGGGAGUAAAGUUAAUACCUUUCCCCAUUGACGUUACCCGCAGAAGAAGCACCGGCUAACUCCGUG